RNAcentral lists this ribosomal RNA (306 nucleotides) under uncultured Peredibacter sp. Its description in RNAcentral is "bacterial SSU rRNA". It matches the Rfam family "Bacterial small subunit ribosomal RNA", at positions 1033 to 1340 of the family's 1533-position model. Lineage: Bacteria; Pseudomonadati; Bdellovibrionota; Bacteriovoracia; Bacteriovoracales; Bacteriovoracaceae. The record is from RNAcentral.
GAGAGGUGCUGCAUGGCUGUCGUCAGCUCGUGUUGUGAAAUGUUGGGUUAAGUCUCGCAACGAGCGCAACCCCUAUCGUCUGUUGCCAGCAUUAAGUUGGGCACUCUGACGAGACUGCCUGGGCUAACCAGGAGGAAGGUGGGGAUGACGUCAAGUCCUCAUGGCCCUUAUGUCUAGGGCUACACACGUAAUACAAUGGCGCGUACAAAGGGAAGCGAACUCGCAAGGGGGAGCAAAUCUCAAAAAGCGCGUCUCAGUCUGGAUUGGAGUCUGCAACUCGACUCCAUGAAGUUGGAAUCGCUAGUG